GAAAAUUACCCAAGGAUGGGUCCGUAUAUAACCUGUAUUAUCCGUAUAUAGUUAGAACCAAGUAUUACCCAAGGAUAUUAUAUACGGAUUUGGGAAAUUAUUUUUUAAAGAAAAUGUUUUUCUGAUUAAUUGGAUGUUGGAGUUGCGUAUCACUCUCAUUCUGAAGCAUUUUCCCCUCUUUCUCGAACUCUAUGAACUCUUCUCCCUCUCGAACUCUCUUCUCUCUCGAACCCUCUUCUUUGUCGAACCCUCUUCUCUCUCGAAGUUGUCACUCUCCUCUGUCUCUCUCGAGCCCUCUUCAUCAAUCCUUCAUCAAACAUUGUCACCUCUCCUCUCGAACCUUCAGUCACCUCUUGUCUCGAACCUUCAGUCACCUCUCCUCUCGAACCACUCUUCUUUGUAGCUGCCGGUCGAGUUCUCCGCUGGCAAGCCCUGCUAAUCCCGCACUCCACCCCUCUUCUGUCAAACCCUAUCGUGCCCUAAAUCAUUCUUCUCUCGUUCCCUAAAUGAUUCUUCUCUCGAGCCCUAAAUCUGGUAAGUGAUUCUUAUCUUCCUUCAUUUUUCUGGUAAUCUAUAAUGCCUAAAAAUCUUUAAAAUUGAACCUUAAUCUGUGUUAGUUUUAUUUUAAUUGGCCCAUUUUUGGUUCAUCUGGCAAGACAUAGUUGGAUUUUGACGAGGCAUCGAUUGAGACUGUUGUGUUGCGGUUUAAACUAAGACAGAUAAAACUUGGUGCUACGAUGACCGAAGGAAUAAAAAAAAAGGUGCUUUUAAUUUCGUCUUUUGCUCGGUUUGGUAUGCAAUGUACUUCGGUGUGUGUCUCUCUCUCUCUCUCUCUCUCUCUCUCUAUAUAUAUAU
Molecule: long non-coding RNA, 855 nt
Filed under: Vigna radiata
Lineage: Eukaryota; Viridiplantae; Streptophyta; Magnoliopsida; Fabales; Fabaceae
Description: long non-coding RNA (VRAD_LNC012141)
Source: RNAcentral